Molecule: small RNA, 589 nt
Filed under: Pongo abelii (Sumatran orangutan)
Lineage: Eukaryota; Metazoa; Chordata; Mammalia; Primates; Hominidae
Description: processed transcript
Source: RNAcentral
AGAGGAAUUGGCUGCCCGUGGCCGGGUGGACAGUCCUCGUCUUGUGUGUGGCCAGGGUCUCAAGGCCUCAUGCUACACCCUUGUGUAUAGCAUCUCAUGCAGGCUUCACCUCAGUCCUAUGAGGCAUGCAGUGACCUCGCCCUUAGACAUCUGCAAACUCAGACCUGGAGCUGUCAGAGCCAUUUGUCGAGGGACACGCUGCUAGGAGAUGGCAGAGCUGGAGCCAGCCCCCAAAGCCAGCGCUGCGCUGUUCUCCUUUUGAUGUGGGCUUAUCCAAAGUUAAUCAGUGAAUUCCUCACAUGUCCACAUGCUCCUAUGGGGAGUUGCUGAGUCAGCCCAGACCAGAAGGAGUGGCAGAGAUCAUUUGCCCCAAGAACGGCAGCGAGCGAGUGAAUGUUGCCUUGGUUUACCCACCCACGCCGACUGUGAUCAGCCCCUGUUCCAAGUAUCUUCAUACUUUCUUGGAAAAUUAAGUGGAAAAGAUAGUGCUUCUUUUCCUUAUGCCAUCAUUUUUACUGUGUACCCAAACUGUGACUUUAGGAGCACCAAUUUUUAAGGGAAGAACGUUGGUGAAAAGCACAGAAACCAG